Molecule: ribosomal RNA, 355 nt
Filed under: uncultured bacterium
Lineage: Bacteria
Description: bacterial SSU rRNA
Rfam family: Bacterial small subunit ribosomal RNA
Source: RNAcentral
GGACCCGCACAAGCGGUGGAGCAUGUGGUUUAAUUCGAUGCAACGCGAAAAACCUUACCUACUCUUGACAUACUUGGAAGCUCUUGUAAUGAGAGUGUGCCUUUUGGAGCCAAGAUACAGGUGCUGCAUGGCUGUCGUCAGCUCGUGUCGUGAGAUGUUCCGUUAAGUCGGAUAACGAGCGCAACCCUUACCCUUAUUUGCCAGCGAUUCGGUCGGGAACUAUAAGGGGACUGCCGGUGAUAAACCGGAGGAAGGUGAGGACGACGUCAAGUCAUCAUGGCCCUUACGAGUAGGGCUACACACGUGCUACAAUGGGGAAUACCAGACAGGCGUAAGCCGGCGAGGGGGAGCUGAA